GACUCACUGGAGACAUCCUGACACAUAAUGCUUCGCCCAGCACAAUGCGAUGCCCUUUACCUAGUAAAAGGGUGAGUCCCGUAAAGGUGCUGCCUUCCCCCCAGAACAAACAAGGGAAAUGCAUCAGGAGAGCUCAGCUGCAGACAGAAUGCACAUCAUGAAGCAGGAGCCACCCUGGGAUUCCUCAGAUGAAAGCCAAUUUCAAUGAACAUUGUGUUUCAAAGCCCGCUUCCUCUUGCUCGGUAAGAGCUGCAGAAGGAACAUCCCACUUGCGUCUGCUGACACAAAAGAAUGCUGUGGCUGGGAGAUCUUAUCGAGCCUUCCUGUGCCACAGCAACAGAGCUCCAGUUGUGUCUUGUAAGAAUUGGUCAUUGUUUCAUGGGGACGACUGGCUCCUUUGGGUGGGAUCUGAUGGCAUCUCAUGGAGUUGAGGUUGUCUGCCAACGCUAACUGGGCAGCUCUGACAGGAGGUGCGUGGCCCAGGAGGAGCCAUCAGGCCAGUUCUUUGGGAUACUGCUGUGUCUCCAGCUCUGCAGUUUGCUCUGCAUCACUCAGCGGCAGACGGAGAGGCAGACACGAGCCCCUUGUGAGCCCUCCUCCUUACCGUCAUAUCACAAUGUUCUGAAAUAAGGAGACAAAUGGCUGAGGUCCCCUCAGUUGUAGAUGUGAUUGAGUUCUAUCUACCAGAAGCAUAUGCCUCCUGGAAGCCUGGUUCUAACACCUCCCACAAAAUCCUUCAGGCACUUUUUUCUGUUCCAAGGUUUGCUUAUGGGGGACCCAGUGAAGUGCUUCAGAGCCCUAGAGAUUUGCUGAGUCAUAUGAGGGGUCAGCAAACUUUUCCUGUGAAGGGUCAGAUAAUAAACAUUUUAAGCUUUGUAGACUGUAUAAAGUCUCUGUUUCUUCUCCCCCUCCUCCUCCUCUUUCUCCUUCAGCUUCUUUCCUUUAAAUAUGUACAAAACCUUUCUUCUUUUCCAAAAUCUGUCUGUAUUUGACCUGUGAGCUGUAGUGUGCUGAGUCCUGCAUUAGUAGGAAAGAUCUUGAGUUUCAGAAUGACGAUGUAAAGCAGAGACCCUCCUCCCCACACCCAUUCUCUGCAACCGACACUUGGAUUACUUUUCUUUUACUCUUUGUCUUUCUCUGAACUGUAGAUGUAUGGUUGGCUUUCUGAGGUCAAAUAUAAUUAAGAGGUAGCCAACCAUUUGGCAAAUUUGAACCAAGCAGAGUUCUGAUAUAAAGAAUGUAGGACCCAUUCACUCCCAAUUAGUCUCUUCACUGAAAGGUGGCUUACACCAGGUAUAUCUCAUUUGCUAAUUUGUUUAGUCCAUGUCUAGGAAACCAUUGUGAUCAAGCCAAUAUGCCCAGGCCAGAGCAGCCUACUUUAGAAUCAAAGCUUUAGGCUAGGCGUGGUGGCUCACACCUGUAAUUCCAGCACUUUGGGAGGCCGAGGCGGACAGAUCACUUGAGGUCAGGAGUUCGAGACCAGCCUGGCCAACAUGGUGAAACCCCGUCUCCAUUAAAAAUACAAAAAUUAGCCGGGCAUGGUGGCGGGCCCCUGUAAUCCCAGCUACAGCUACUUGGGAGGCUGAGGCAGGAGAAUCACUUGAACCCAGGAGGAGGAGGUUGUAGUGAGCUGAGAUCGCAUCACUGCACUCUAGCCUUGACAACAGAGUAAGACUCCACUUCAAAAAAAAAAAAAAAAAAAAAAGAAUCAAAGCUUUAAAAUCCAGCAGAAGUAAAAUUUCCAAGUGGGAGGGAAGAGGAUCAAGAGGAGAAUCUGCAAGAGUAAAAGAGGAAGAUGUGUGCUGCAUGGCACAAAAUGAAUCUGCAAAGCAUCUGGGAACUGCAGACCCUACUGAUGCCUGGAACUCACUGGAGUCAGCAUGUCCAGGCAGUCAUUGUAGCAAGUCAGAGUGGUGUGAUGAAAUGCUUCAGGAGAAAAACAUUUCACCACAGCCUGGUUCACUCAGAUACCUUGCCAGGGAACCAACAUCUCACUCGGGCUUCUGAUAUUGUAACUGUGGGCCUUUAAGAAACAACAGAAAACCCAACUGAAUAAAAACUGACCUCCUUUGUGGCUCCUCUGAUGGAAGGGGCUCAGGAGCAACAGCCUUCAUGGUGCCCACCCUCUGGGCCAGAACAACGGAUGCCCCACAUCUGAGUUUAGUGCCUCCAAGAACCACAGCUUUUUUUUGCAGCAGUAAGAGCAUACCUCUGAGGCACUGUGAAGAAUCUGAUAGUCGAACUGAAGCCAAGUCCAGUCUUUACGGAAAAAUUUACACAACACUUCCAGCAGUGACCUGAGAAGCUACAUAUUGACAUGGCGCUACCACGGGUGGAGGAGCGUGCAUUGCUGAAUCACAGGAUGAAGGCGAAUCCCUGCCAGCCUCCAUCCAUCUCUCGGGUGCUUAGCAGAAUCCUCAGCUCACAGGAUGAAUAAAUGCAGACUAAAUGAUGCACAAAUAAUCUUCACACACAACCAUCAACGCACGGAAAGACAGCAGGAUGGCCAGAUCCCAAGCUAACAAACAGAAAAAGAAAAAAAAUGGCAUUAUGAUACAAACAGAAAAUGUAACAGUGGAGUGCAGAAAAUACAAAAAAAAGGGAAAAAAUAAAUAGAAAAUCUUCAAAGAGGCAAUCUGUUUAAAUCUUCAAGAACUGGAAACAGUAAAAGUGAACAGGUUUUUAUUGAGCAUGUCAAUAAAAUGUUUGAAUAAGACUUUACAAGUGCUUUAUUUCAUGAGGUUUUUAGUAUUGAUCAAAGCAACGAAAAUGAACAGGAAAGUCAUUCUCAUCAAAUCUACAACUUGGGAGGAGGUCCGAUGAAAUCCCUGGAAGCUCACAUUUUUUAUAAAUGAAGAGUUAAUUACCGGUGGGAACAAUGAGAACCUCUGUGGUUCUUCCUGAUGCUUGGAUCCUCCCAGACCUCUGUUUCCAGUCUCCUUCUCCACAACCUGGCCUAUGCGAUGCAAGUGGUCUAACUGAUCUCUGCCUAGGGAAGGAUCCUUCAGCAACUUGCCGACAAGAGAAGCAGCGAUGCCCAAGGCAGGUCCAAAGGAGCACUGACUGCGUGGGAUUGAUUACACUGGAGGAACAAAAGGUCCUGUGGCUACACAAGUUUGAAAAGCAGAAGGUACAAUCAUUGUAUUUCUGGCAGACUUUUCAAAGACUUUAAUAUAUGAAUCCCUCAUAUGAAUCUCCAGGAGGAUUAUAUAAUAGGCAGAUCUCCCAGCCAUUUUCACUGAACAGUUCUUAGAAUUGGUAUCCUUGAAAAAUUUCACCUAACCACUCAAUAUGGUAGCCACUAGUCCUGGGUGGCUAUC
Molecule: long non-coding RNA, 3320 nt
Organism: Gorilla gorilla gorilla (western lowland gorilla)
Lineage: Eukaryota; Metazoa; Chordata; Mammalia; Primates; Hominidae
Exons: 9
Source: RefSeq, a predicted model, not a curated record